UUUAAUGAGGAUAAAUACAUGUUUAUAGCCAAGAAGGAAAAGAAAGUUGUCAGACAAGUAGAACCUCAUUGAGAUGAGAUGGAUCUGCCAGGGAAAAGAAAAGCACUUCCUUUACUUCCUGACUGAGAUCUCAGGGGGGUGAAGAUACAAGAUGGAAAGAAAAGUCUGAUCUGCUCGCUGUGAAACACCAGUUUCUCAUUUGCCUGAAGAAAAAUGAGAAAAAGAUUGAUAUUGUUAUAUGUGAUGAAGUGCAACAUGAGGUGGAUUCUUACCGAACUUUCAAAAUGCUUUGUAGUCGAGACUGGUUCUGAGAAGAAAUGCUCACAAAUCCUUGCUGGAUACAGAUCAGGGGGCUAUUGAAAAUCUGCAAAAGUCAAAUUCCCUCAGUUCAAGAAGACGACUCGUACCUGGGAAUGGCUCUGGACUAAUUACAAAACAACUGUUUAAAAUCACUGCAGAAAGCAGAGACAACAAGAGUUUUGCCAAAAGGAAGAAGGGCUGUUGAUCACUUGUGUGGUAGAGAGAAACACCCAGAAUCAGUCUGGACAGGAUGGAGCUUCAGUCUGGACAGGAUGGAGCCUCAGUCUGGACAGGAUGGAGCCUCAGUCUGGACAGGAUGGAGCCUCAGUCUGGACAGGAUGGAGCCUCAGUCUGGACAGGAUGGAGCCUCAGUCUGGACAGGAUGGAGCCUCAGUCUGGACAGGAUGGACCUUCAGUCUGGACAGGAUGGAGCCUCAGUCUGGACAGGAUGGAGCUUCAGUCUGGACAGGAUGGAGCCUCAGUCUGGACAGGAUGGAGCCUCAGUCUGGACAGGAUGGAGCCUCAGUCUGGACAGGAUGGAGCCUCAGUCUGGACAGGAUGGAGCCUCAGUCUGGACAGGAUGGAGCCUCAGUCUGGACAGGAUGGAGCCUCAGUCUGGACAGGAUGGAGCCUCAGUCUGGACAGGAUGGAGCCUCAGUCUGGACAGGAUGGAGCCUCAGUCUGGACAGGAUGGAGCGUUAGUCUGGACAGGAUGGAGCCUCAGUCUGGACAGGAUGGAGCCUCAGUCUGGACAGGAUGGAGCCUCAGUCUGGACAGGAUGGAGCCUCAGUCUGGAAAGGAUGGAGUUUUAGUCUGGACAGGAUGGAGCCUAACUGUGGAAAAACAGAAACUGACUGAAACACACAAUACAAUGACAAAUCAAUGACCAGAAUGGCAACCAGCUCCAGCUACUCAGCAUCACUCUGACUAUUUGUGCUGGUUGGCUUCUGUCUCAGCUGAAGGGAGGACAUUGUGUUUUAAAGUAUUUUCUUUCUGUCCUGAAGUAGGUCUACCUGCUUAAUACACACAGACUUUCAUAUAGGUAAAGCAAAGCCAUGCUAUGACUUAACUCUACCUUCAUAUAUUGGGCUGCCUUUAUCACAAUAGUUUCACUGUUUAAAAACAUGUGUUUUCAAAUGACUGUAUGCUACAUUGAUCUUUGGAUCACACUUGGAAUGCGAAAGGUUCCUAAUGUUAGUUUUAGGUCUCCCCGAAGUCCGUAGACUUCCACUCUAUUAGUCACCCUAGAACACAGUCAACGAGCCUAACGGAGAUGUGUAUUCAUUAGGGAUAUACUGUAGCUAAAUGUUCAAUGGAGGGCUACGCGAGCGUUUCUUGGACCAAUUCAGAAUUUGGUACACAAGGAGGAGGAGCACUAGUCUUUUUAGGAUUAAGUGAAAAUAGGGAGACAAUGUAUUUGUAUUAAGGGUUUAGUCUUUGAAUCGUGGGUUUGUGCAGAUUCCCUUGGCCUUCCUUCCUGUUUAACUUUUGAUGUCUGGUCUUGCUGUAGAGACUGAAUACAGCAGGAUUAUUGCUGGACUUUUUUGUUUUCUUAACUAUUUUACGACGUAUUCAUUGACGAAUCGAACUCCACUACAAAUACAAGCCUCUAUAAAAGAAGCUCUGAUCCUUUUUUUGUUAGAAAUAAAAAGACAAAGAUGUUUUAUUUUCUAAGAGUAUGUAGUAGUAGCAUUAGUGAAAUAACCUACAAUGAUGGAUCAUAUGUUUAUUUUUUUAUCAGUGGGCUAUUUAUUUAUUUUUUUCCCUUUUUUUGUGGAAAAAUUUAGAAACUGCAUCCAGACCUGCCUUACUGUUACCAAUAUGUUCCUUUUGUGGAAAGAUUUAGAGACUGUAUCCAGACCUGCCUUACUGUUACCAAUAUGUUCCUUUUUGUGGAAAGAUUUAGAGACUGUAUCCAGACCUGCCUUACUGUGACCAACAUGUUCCUUUUUUUGUGGAAAGAUUUAGAGACUGUAUCCAGACCUGCCUUACUGUUACCAACAUGUUCCUUUUUUGAACAGGGAGGUAUUCUUCCGUAUUUUGUAAUUUUUUUAAGGAUACUUCCACUGACAUUCUUAGAGCUGUCAUUUUAUUGGGAGGAACUGCAGUUCGAUCGGAAUAGUUUUUCUGAUUUUGUCCUCUUGUUUUGUGAGUGACCCUCUCACUCAGUCAACUCGUCUCAGUGCACAAGUCUCCCCUUCUCCAGACACCGCGUAUGAAUCAGAAUCCGUAGCUAGUUGUGACACGUGAGCCUCUGGAUGAAAAGCAGAGUAUCCCUAAAGCAGCUUGGUCCUAUCAGCCCCUCAUGUUGGACUAAACACUUUCAACUCUACACAAGUGAAAACCCCAAAUCACUAAAGAUCCUCUAUUUGCUAUACUAGAGGGACAUGAAGUCUGACUCCUUCCUCAACAUGUGGACCUGCCCUGAGGAUGUUGGACACCACUGUUACACCUUCAGCCUUGUUGAUUUCCUGUCAGACUGGUUGUUUUUCAACUCCAUUCCACGGACGGACUGACCUGAACUUUUACCAGAACAGGAACACAAUGAUCAACAGACUCUCUCCUCACCAGUGGACUGACUACUCAGACUGGUUGUCUUUGAACUCAACAGGAACACAAUGAUCAACAGACUCUCUCCUCACCAGUGGACUGACUACUCACUGGUUGUCUUUGAACUCAACAGGAACACAAUGAUCAACAGACUCUCUCCUCACCAGUGGACUGACUACUCAGACUGGUUGUCUUUGAACUCAACAGGAACACAAUGAUCAACAGACUCCCUCCUCACCAGUGGGACUGACUACUCAGACUGGUUGUCUUUGAACUCAACAGGAACACAAUGAUCAACAGACUCUCUCCUCACCAGUGGGACUGACUACUCAGACUGGUUGUCUUUGAACUCAAGAGGAACACAAUGAACCCAGCCAUGGUGUGUGUAGGUCCCUCGGGGUUGGGCUGAAUUGGAAUUGAAGGUAGUCAAUUCAGGAAGUUAUCACAAAUUACUAUUACUAUAUUAAUUGGAGAAAAAAAAUGCAUUUUCAAUACUUAAACUGAAAAGUAGAAGCUAUUUAAAAGGUUUUUCAAUUUAAGACUUGUUUUAUUCAAAUAAAUUUCCUGAAUUGACUGCUUUUAAUUUGAAUUGAGACCAAACCUGGUGACCAGCGUGACAUAACUGGUUCUAUAGGAUUCGUUGCGCAGCUCAUACCCAGGAACACUUGGCAGUGUGUUUUCUGCUAAUGCCAACAAAAAAACGUUAAACUUGUGUAGCGACCCGCACAGACAGCUGUGUGUUAUGUGUUAGGCUAGGAGGUGGUUGUGUUGUACUGACCAGUACCCGGUGUUCGGGGUCCGACAUGUCAAUCAACCUGCUAUCUGCCAAUCACGGGAAUGCCUGGAAUGUUCUGAUGCCGGGCAUCCUGGUGGUUGGCGGAGUGGCGUGGAGGGGGUUGGGCAGAGGGGUGGAGCAUUGGAAGUUAAGACCAGGUUCAGCUUUUUGUUCUCUCUCUUACGUCUGGGCUUCCCAAGAGAAGGUCACGAUUGGCUUGUGGGUUAUCUGUUAUCUUUUUGGCGUGUGCUACGGCCCAAACAGUAGCCUGUGUAAAGUUGGUUUAAUAAAACGUCAAUUCGCAAACUCAA
Oncorhynchus masou masou (cherry salmon) is the source of this 3936-nucleotide long non-coding RNA. RefSeq lists it as uncharacterized. NCBI's taxonomy places the organism in Eukaryota, Metazoa, Chordata, Actinopteri, Salmoniformes, Salmonidae. The transcript has 3 exons. The record is from RefSeq and is a predicted model, not a curated record.